AUUGAACGCUGGCGGCAGGCUUAACACAUGCAAGUCGAGCGGUAACAGAGAGAAGCUUGCUUCUCUGCUGACGAGCGGCGGACGGGUGAGUAAUGCCUAGGAAUCUGCCUAGUAGUGGGGGAUAACUUGCCGAAAGGUAAGCUAAUACCGCAUACGUCCUACGGGAGAAAGGAGGGGACCUUCGGGCCUUUCGCUAUUAGAUGAGCCUAGGUCGGAUUAGUUAGUUGGUGAGGUAAUGGCUCACCAAGACCGCGAUCCGUAACUGGUCUGAGAGGAUGAUCAGUCACACUGGAACUGAGACACGGUCCAGACUCCUACGGGAGGCAGCAGUGGGGAAUAUUGGACAAAGGGGGGAACCCUGAUCCAGCCAUGCCGCGUGUGUGAAGAAGGUCUUAGGAUUGUAAAGCACCUUAAGUUGGGAGGAAGAGCAGUUAACUAAUAUUUGACUGUUUUGACGUUACCGACAGAAUAAGCACCGGCUAACUUCGUG
RNAcentral lists this ribosomal RNA (490 nucleotides) under uncultured bacterium. RNAcentral describes it as "partial 16S ribosomal RNA". It matches the Rfam family "Bacterial small subunit ribosomal RNA", at positions 30 to 507 of the family's 1533-position model. The record is from RNAcentral.